GGGAAUCUUGGUCAAUGGGCGCAAGCCUGAACCAGCGACGCCGCGUGAGUGAUGAAGGCCUUCGGGUUGUAAAGCUCUGUGGGGAGGGACGAAAGAGCUCAAUCUAAUAGGUUGAGUAGUUGACGGUACCUCCUUAGCAAGCACCGGCUAACUCUGUGCCAGCAGCCGCGGUAAGACAGAGGGUGCAAACGUUGCUCGGAAUUACUGGGCGUAAAGCGCGUGUAGGCGGGUUUCCAAGUCAGAUGUGAAAUCCCCGGGCUCAACCCGGGAACUGCAUUUGAAACUGGGAGUCUUGAGUAUCGGAGAGGAAAGCGGAAUUCCCGGUGUAGAGGUGAAAUUCGUAGAUAUCAGGAGGAACACCGGUGGCGAAGGCGGCUUUCUGGACGAUAACUGACGCUGAGACGCGAAAGCGUGGGGAGCAAA
RNAcentral lists this ribosomal RNA (423 nucleotides) under uncultured bacterium. Its description in RNAcentral is "bacterial SSU rRNA". It matches the Rfam family "Bacterial small subunit ribosomal RNA", at positions 357 to 772 of the family's 1533-position model. The record is from RNAcentral.